UACGGGGGGGGCAAGCGUUGUUCGGAAUUACUGGGCGUAAAGGGCGCGUAGGCGGGUGGACAAGUCUCUCGUGAAAGCCCACGGCUCAACCGUGGAAUUGUGUGAGAUACUGUCUGUCUUGAGUCCGGGAGAGGAGGGUGGAAUUCCCAGUGUAGCGGUGAAAUGCGUAGAUAUUGGGAGGAACACCGGUGGCGAAGGCGGCUCUCUGGACCGGUACUGACGCUGAGGCGCGAAAGCUAGGGGAGCAAACGGG
RNAcentral lists this ribosomal RNA (253 nucleotides) under uncultured bacterium. RNAcentral describes it as "partial 16S ribosomal RNA". It matches the Rfam family "Bacterial small subunit ribosomal RNA", at positions 524 to 776 of the family's 1533-position model. The record is from RNAcentral.